RNAcentral lists this ribosomal RNA (1931 nucleotides) under Microhyla annamensis (Vietnam rice frog). Its description in RNAcentral is "partial large subunit ribosomal RNA". It matches the Rfam family "Bacterial large subunit ribosomal RNA", at positions 194 to 2590 of the family's 2925-position model. Lineage: Eukaryota; Metazoa; Chordata; Amphibia; Anura; Microhylidae. The record is from RNAcentral.
AGCUCAAGCUUAAAACCCAAAGGACUUGACGGUGUCCCACCCAUCUAGAGGAGCCUGUUCUAUAAUCGAUUCUCCCCGAUACACCUCACCACUUCUAGCCUCUCAGCCUGUAUACCUCCGUCGCAAGCUUACCAUAUGAACGAAUCUUAGUGAGCUUAAACAUCAACCAUAAACACGUCAGGUCAAGGUGCAGCCAACGAUGUGGGAAGCAAUGGGCUACAAUUUCUACCAAUAGAACAAACGAAAGACCACAUGCAACUCGGUCAUGAAGGCGGAUUUAGCAGUAAAAAGAAAAUAGAGAGUUCUUUUUAAUUAGGCACUGGGACGCGUACACACCGCCCGUCACCCUCUUCAAAUGAAACCCCCACAGUUUUUAACUUCAUUGCUCACCACAGAAGAGGUAAGUCGUAACACGGUAAGCGUACUGGAAAGUGCGCUUGGAUUAACAAAGUGUAGCUUAACCAAAGCACCUCGCUUACACCGAGAAUAUGUCUGUUAAACUCAGAUCACCUUGAAAGCCUAAAACCUAGCUUUAAAACCUCCCCCAAUACCCCCACCCCCAAUUUUCCCCCCACAAUAAAACAUUUUCCAUCAUUUAGUAAAGGCGAUUAAAAAAUGUCUUAAAGCCACAAAAAUAGUACCGCAAGGGAAAGGUGAAAUAGAAAUGAAAUAACUCUUAAGCCCCAAAAAGCAGAGCUAAAACCUCGUACCUUUUGCAUUAUGGUUUAGCCAGUCCAACCAAGCAAAAUGCACUUUCAGUUUGACCCCCCGAAAUUAAGCGAGCUACUUCAAAACAGCCUUUUAGGGCAAACCCGUCUCUGUUGCAAAAGAGUGGGAAGAUUUUCAAGUAGUGGUGAUAAACCUACCGAGCUUAAAGAUAGCUGGUUAUUCAGGAAAAGGAUUUUAGUCCUACCUUAAGUUUUUUAAUAACCUUAAAUAUUCUUAUAAACUUAAGAGCUAUUCAAAUAAGGUACAGCCUAUUUGAACUAGGGUACAACCUAAUACGAUGGGUAACGACACAAGUCUUAUAAUCAAGUGGGCCUAAUAGCAGCCACCUUUAAUAAAAGCGUUAAAGCUUACUUAUAAUUUUAACUCAAUACCCCCCACCCAAACGAAACCCUCCAUCUAUACUGAAUGACUUCAUACCCUAUGAAGGACCAUAUGCUAAAACUAGUAACAAGAAGAAGACCUUCUCCAAAAUGCAAGCGUAAGUCAUUAUGAACAACUCACUGACACUUAACGUUUUUGAAUCUAAAGUAGUAACUUAUCAAGAAAAUUCUACUAGACAUCACGUCAACCUUACACCAGAGCAUUACCGGAAAGAUUAAAAGAAAGGGAAGGAACUCGGCAAAUAUUAACCCCGCCUGUUUACCAAAAACAUCGCCUCCUGACUACUCUAUAGGAGGUCUAGCCUGCCCAGUGACUUAGUUAAACGGCCGCGGUACCCUAACCGUGCAAAGGUAGCGCAAUCACUUGUUCUUUAAAUGAGGACUAGUAUGAACGGCAUCACGAGGGUUACACUGUCUCCCCCCUCUAAUCAGUGAAACUGAUCUCCCCGUGAAGAAGCGGGGAUAAACAUAUAAGACGAGAAGACCCCAUGGAGCUUUAAACUCAGUAUCACCUGCCCUACUCUAUACCCAUUUAAUCAUGCAGUUUUGAAUACUAGUUUUCGGUUGGGGUGACCGCGGAGUAAAACAAAACCUCCUCGAUGAAUGGAACAAUACUCCUAAUCCAAGAGCUACAGCUCUAAGAAUCAAAAAAUUGACAAAAAUUGAUCCAAAUAUAUUUGAUCAACGAACCAAGUUACCCUGGGGAUAACAGCGCAAUCUACUUCAAGAGCUCCUAUCGACAAGUGGGUUUACGACCUCGAUGUUGGAUCAGGGUAUCCCAGUGGCGCAGCCGCUACUAAAGGUUCGUUUGUUCAACGAUUA